This 303-nucleotide ribosomal RNA is filed under the name uncultured bacterium. RNAcentral describes it as "partial 16S ribosomal RNA". It matches the Rfam family "Bacterial small subunit ribosomal RNA", at positions 507 to 807 of the family's 1533-position model. The record is from RNAcentral.
AGCAGUAGCCGCGGGAAUACGUAGGGCGCAAGCGUUAUCCGGAAUUAUUGGGCGUAAAGAGCUCGUAGGCGGUUUGUCGCGUCUGCCGUGAAAGUCCGGGGCUCAACCCCGGAUCUGCGGUGGGUACGGGCAGACUAGAGUGAUGUAGGGGAGACUGGAAUUCCUGGUGUAGCGGUGAAAUGCGCAGAUAUCAGGAGGAACACCGAUGGCGAAGGCAGGUCUCUGGGCAUUAACUGACGCUGAGGAGCGAAAGCAUGGGGAGCGAACAGGAUUAGAUACCCCAGUAGUCCCUGUCUCUUAUAC